This 466-nucleotide ribosomal RNA is filed under the name uncultured bacterium. RNAcentral's name for it is "partial 16S ribosomal RNA". It matches the Rfam family "Bacterial small subunit ribosomal RNA", at positions 28 to 507 of the family's 1533-position model. The record is from RNAcentral.
GACGAACGCUGGCGGCGUGCUUAACACAUGCAAGUCGAACGGUAAGGCUCCAGCUUGCUGGGGUACACGAGUGGCGAACGGGUGAGUAACACGUGGGUGACCUGCCCUGCACUUCGGGAUAAGCCUGGGAAACUGGGUCUAAUACCGGAUAGGACCAUGGUGUGGAUACUGUGGUGGAAAGUUUUUUCGGUGUGGGAUGGGCCCGCGGCCUAUCAGCUUGUUGGUGGGGUAAUGGCCUACCAAGGCGGCGACGGGUAGCCGGCCUGAGAGGGUGGACGGCCACAUUGGGACUGAGACACGGCCCAGACUCCUACGGGAGGCAGCAGUGGGGAAUAUUGCACAAUGGGCGGAAGCCUGAUGCAGCGACGCCGCGUGCGGGAUGACGGCCUUCGGGUUGUAAACCGCUUUCGCCUGUGACGAAGCGUGAGUGACGGUAAUGGGUAAAGAAGCACCGGCUAACUACGUG